GCACCCGCGGUAAUUCCAGCUCCAAUAGCGUAUAUUAAAGUUGUUGCGGUUAAAAAGCUCGUAGUUGGAUUUCUGCCGAGGACGACCGGUCUGCCCUCUGGGUGCGUAUCUGGCUCGGCCUGGGCAUCUUCUUGGAGAACGUAUCUGCACUUGACUGUGUGGUGCGGUAUCCAGGACUUUUACUUUGAGGAGAUUAGAGUGUUUCAAGCAGGCACACGCCUUGAAUACAUUAGCAUGGAAUAAUAAGAUAGGACCUCGGUUCUAUUUUGUUGAUUUCUAGAGCUGAGGUAAUGAUUAAUAGGGAUAGUUGGGGGCAUUCGUAUUUAACUGUCAGAGGUGAAAUUCUUGGAUUUGUUAAAGACGGACCACUGCGAAAGCAUUUGCCAAGGAUGUUUUCAUUGAUCAAGAACGAAAGU
This 416-nucleotide ribosomal RNA is filed under the name uncultured eukaryote. RNAcentral's name for it is "SSU rRNA". It matches the Rfam family "Eukaryotic small subunit ribosomal RNA", at positions 570 to 990 of the family's 1831-position model. The record is from RNAcentral.